GCGCUGCUGCAUGCGCAGCGACAGCGGGCUCUUCAGUCUUGACCUCAACAGGCUGGUCUUGCAAACCGCAUUGUUGUGAACUUCUUACAUUACUAUAUACCAGGAGCUACUAGGUGCCAAGUUUACACCCCCAAGAUUAUUGUUAGGUUUCUCUCUGUCAAAAAAAAAACUUAUAUAUAUAGUUCAAAGUUCUCACUCCACCUAGCGAAAAACUUGGGUGCAGGAACACCAAGCAGAAAUGGAAAUGUCCUUGAACGAAUUUCAGAGAACUCCUGUUUGAAGCCCUUGACAGUUCGUUUCGUCGGCGACGUUCCUACCCCCAAGACGUUAGAUCUCCACUCCUGUCUUCUGUGCUAAAUGAGAUGGGCACUGUAUCGAUCCUGGGUCCUGCCAUCCAUACAGGCCACCUGCACACAAACAAUAAUACGGCUAAUCAUUCAACUGAGUAGAGGGUUGUAGCAACAUGAGAUCUUAGAGAGUGGGGUUCCUGAGCAAGACAUGUAUACAUAUUUGCAAUGGGUGCAAACUUCACUAAAACUGGUAAAAAAGUGGUGUCGAUAGACCAAAAGCAACUUGACAGCCAAAACAAUAACCAACAGGUAGUAUCGAUGUGUCUCAAUAUAUAUUGAGAUCUACUGCUCCAGUACCUGUCCAAACAAGCUACAUUAACUUAUUAAUUUAUCCUGGGAAAGAUUUCUCUGUAAAGACUGUAGUAUGUAUAUAUACUACUUGCCACAUAUAGCACAAACCAUCCACACUAUUCCCUGUUCUUCGGAAGAAGAAAAAAAGAACUACUCUUUGCAAAAAAGAAAUUGAGAAACGGAACUGCUCUUUGCAGAAAUCUGUCGGUCCUGUACUUGUCAGAACAAUAUUAACUUAUAAAUUUAUCCAAGGGAAGACUUCUCUAUGAACAGUAGAAUUUAUAAAUGUACUUUUUUGUAGAAUGUACUUGAGACGUAUAACUCAAUGAACAAACUAUUCCCUGUCCUACUGGAAAACAAAGCUACUAUUUGCAAUAUAUUAGUUUGGAGCAUACUCCACACUUAGUUUCUGAUGUCUAGAAUGUAUAAUAGAUCGAAGCAUACUUCACACAUACAAUUGAACAAUUU
This 1109-nucleotide long non-coding RNA is filed under the name Hordeum vulgare. Its description in RNAcentral is "long non-coding RNA (HVUL_LNC013332)". The record is from RNAcentral. Lineage: Eukaryota; Viridiplantae; Streptophyta; Magnoliopsida; Poales; Poaceae.